AACCUAGGGCUAGGGGAUAGGCGGCGAGUUAGAUCGAAUAUCGGGUGUAGAGUACACGAGUGGCGUCAACGGGUUGGCGUAACGCGUAAGUAACUUGCCCCAAGGUAAGGAAUAACGUCGAGAAAUCGGCGCUAAUACCUCAUAAUGCAGCGGAUCCGCAUGGAUAUGUUGUUAAAGGUUUACCGCCUUGGGAUUAGGCUUGCGUCUGAUUAGCUAGUUGGUGUGGUAACGGCACACCAAGGCUACGAUCAGUAACUGGUCUGAGAGGAUGAUCAGUCACACUGGAACUGAGACACGGUCCAGACUCCUACGGGAGGCAGCAGUGAGGAAUAUUGGGCAAUGCUCGAAAGAGUGACCCAGCAACGCGCGUGGAGGAUGAAGGUAUUCUAUAUUCGUAAACUCCUGUGAGAGCAGACGAAAGACAGAUUAUUAAUCUGGAUGACUGUAUGCUCAGAGGAAGCCCCGGCUAACUACGUG
RNAcentral lists this ribosomal RNA (477 nucleotides) under uncultured bacterium. Its description in RNAcentral is "bacterial SSU rRNA". It matches the Rfam family "Bacterial small subunit ribosomal RNA", at positions 38 to 507 of the family's 1533-position model. The record is from RNAcentral.